This 490-nucleotide ribosomal RNA is filed under the name uncultured bacterium. RNAcentral's name for it is "partial 16S ribosomal RNA". It matches the Rfam family "Bacterial small subunit ribosomal RNA", at positions 30 to 507 of the family's 1533-position model. The record is from RNAcentral.
AUUGAACGCUGGCGGCAGGCCUAACACAUGCAAGUCGAACGGUAACAGGAAACAGCUUGCUGUUUCGCUGACGAGUGGCGGACGGGUGAGUAAUGUCUGGGAAACUGCCUGAUGGAGGGGGAUAACUACUGGAAACGGUAGCUAAUACCGCAUAACGUCGCGAGACCAAAGAGGGGGACCUUCGGGCCUCUUGCCAUCGGAUGUGCCCAGAUGGGAUUAGCUAGUAGGUGGGGUAACGGCUCACCUAGGCGACGAUCCCUAGCUGGUCUGAGAGGAUGACCAGCCACACUGGAACUGAGACACGGUCCAGACUCCUACGGGAGGCAGCAGUGGGGAAUAUUGCACAAUGGGCGCAAGCCUGAUGCAGCCAUGCCGCGUGUAUGAAGAAGGCCUUCGGGUUGUAAAGUACUUUCAGCGGGGAUGAAGGGAGUAAAGUUAAUACCUUUGCUCAUUGACGUUACCCGCAGAAGAAGCACCGGCUAACUCCGUG